This is a non-coding RNA of Malaclemys terrapin pileata, 82 nucleotides long. Lineage: Eukaryota; Metazoa; Chordata; Testudines; Emydidae. The record is from the annotation of a RefSeq genome assembly.
GCUGUGAUGGCUGAGUGGUUAAGGUGUUGGACUUGAAAUCCAGUGGGGUGUCCCCGUGUAGGUUCAAAUCCUGUUCGUGGCG